CGCGGCCUAUCAGCUUGUUGGUAGGGUAACGGCCUACCAAGGCAACGACGGGUAGCUGGUCUGAGAGGACGAUCAGCCACACUGGAACUGCGACACGGUCCAGACUCCUACGGGAGGCAGCAGUGAGGAAUAUUGCGCAAUGGGCGAAAGCCUGACGCAGCGACGCCGCGUGGGGGAUGAAGGUUUUCGGAUUGUAAACCCCUUUCGGGAGGGAAGAUGGGGUGGGUAACCACUCGGACGGUACCUCCAGAAGCAGCCACGGCUAACUUCGUGCCAGCAGCCGCGGUAAUACGAAGGUGGCAAGCGUUGUUCGGAUUUACUGGGCGUAAAGAGAGCGUAGGCGGUUUGGUAAGCCCUGUGGGAAAUCUCCCGGCUUAACCGGGAAAGUUCGCAGGGGACUGCUUGGCUAGAGGAUGGGAGAGGAGCGCGGAAUUCCCGGUGUAGCGGUGAAAUGCGUAGAGAUCGGGAGGAAGGCCGGUGGCGAAGGCGGCGCUCUGGAACAUUCCUGACGCUGAGGCUCGAAAGCGUGGGGAGCAAACAGGAUUAGAUACCCUGGUAGUCCACGCCUUAAACGAUGGACACUAAGUGUCGGCGGGUUACCGUCGGUGCCGCAGCUAACGCAGUAAGUGCCCCGCCUGGGGAGUACGG
RNAcentral lists this ribosomal RNA (648 nucleotides) under uncultured bacterium. RNAcentral describes it as "bacterial SSU rRNA". It matches the Rfam family "Bacterial small subunit ribosomal RNA", at positions 232 to 885 of the family's 1533-position model. The record is from RNAcentral.